RNAcentral lists this ribosomal RNA (232 nucleotides) under uncultured bacterium. Its description in RNAcentral is "partial 16S ribosomal RNA". It matches the Rfam family "Bacterial small subunit ribosomal RNA", at positions 99 to 334 of the family's 1533-position model. The record is from RNAcentral.
CGGACGGGUGAGUAAUGUAUGGGGAUCUGCCUGAUGGCGGGGGAUAACUACUGGAAACGGUAGCUAAUACCGCAUAACGUCGCAAGACCAAAGAGGGGGACCUUCGGGCCUCUUGCCAUCGGAUGUGCCCAGAUGGGAUUAGCUAGUAGGUGGGGUAACGGCUCACCUAGGCGACGAUCCCUAGCUGGUCUGAGAGGAUGACCAGCCACACUGGGACUGAGACACGGCCCAG